AGCGAACGCUAGCGGCGGGCCUAACACAUGCAAGUCGAGCGGAGAACUUCGGUUCUUAGCGGCGGACGAGUGAGUAACGCGUAGGUAAUGUGCCUUCUGGUGGGGAACAACCGUGCGAAAGCAUGGCUAAUACCGCAUAUGUCGAGAGAUGAAAGCCUUCGGGCGCCAGUAGAGCAGCCUGCGUCCCAUUAUUUAGUCCUAGUUGGUGAGGUAACGGCUCACCAAGGUACGAUGGGUAGCUGGUCUGAGAGGAUGAUCAGCCACACUGGAACUGAGACACGGUCCAGACUCCUACGGAGGCAGCAG
Molecule: ribosomal RNA, 306 nt
Filed under: uncultured bacterium
Lineage: Bacteria
Description: bacterial SSU rRNA
Rfam family: Bacterial small subunit ribosomal RNA
Source: RNAcentral